ACGGAGGUCCCUAGCGUUGGUCGGAAUCACUGGGCUUAAAGCGCGUGUAGGCGGGGUGACAAGUACCUUGUGAAAUCCCCGGGCUCAACCCGGGAAUGGCUCGGUAUACUGUCACUCUUGAGGCAGGUAGAGGUCACUGGAACCUUAGGUGGAGCGGUGAAAUGCGUAGAUAUCUAAGGGAACGCCUGUGGCGAAAGCGGCUCUCUGGAACGGUACUGACGCUGAGACGGGAAAGCGUGGGGAGCGAACAGGA
Molecule: ribosomal RNA, 253 nt
Filed under: uncultured prokaryote
Description: partial 16S ribosomal RNA
Rfam family: Bacterial small subunit ribosomal RNA
Source: RNAcentral